Molecule: non-coding RNA, 27 nt
Filed under: Cricetulus griseus (Chinese hamster)
Lineage: Eukaryota; Metazoa; Chordata; Mammalia; Rodentia; Cricetidae
Source: RNAcentral
CAUGCUGGGCUGGGACUACUGAUCUCU